AUGAGCAGUAUAUUAUUAUUCUUUCCAGAGAUGUUUUUGUUGCCUUAAAACCAAACUGCUGGAUUCAUUUGUGUAUUUACUUAUCUUGCAAAGCAGUACAUGACUGAAGAAUGUAUCCUAGUCUGUGUGUUUUUCAUUUCUAGUGUCUUACCAUCAAUUACAGCAUUACUUACCCAUGUUUUCUCUUUCUCAAUACAUCUGGAGUUUUGUUUUUAAUUAGUCAUUGAGACAGAGACUCAUUUUUUAGCACAGUUUUUGAAUGUGCUCUUGAAAAUCUGUAACAUCCAGAGGAAAAGCAGGACUAGACAGUGGAGUUUGUGGUGUCAAGGAAGUCAAGUAAAGGAAUGAGGUUGUGACAAGCAAGUGCACGCCGCUUCACACAUCUUAAGAAAGGGAGAACAGAAUGAUUGAAAAUAGGGCUGGGAGAGCUCUUGGGAGGUCAUCCAGUCCAUCUCCUCACACAGCAAGGUGGUCCGAAUGUCCUAAUGCCACAAUCACACACAAUUCAGAGUGAGCUUUACCAUCAGAGCUUUGCUGCAGUGGAUCCUGGGAACUUACCUGCCUGAAGUGGGAAAGACUAAAUAUCUCUACAAACUGGACUGGGAAACCAGGCAGCUGGAACCAGAUGGUAGUAAAGAAUUGAGCCGACAGAGAAGGGAACCUGUUUUUCCUUCUGGGUGGAAAGAUGUGUGUGUAUCUGUGUGUAUGAGUAUGUGUGAAAGACAGGGGUGAUGAAGAGAUGAAUUUCUUUCUUGUGAUUAUCUUCUUUUGACCCAGCACAGAAAUGAAACAGCCUUGCUAGACCUUUACUGGGUGAAAUGAUUUGUGUUUGUGGAGAAAUAGCAGCAAGUCUAAUGGGUAGGGGGGUGGGUUUGUAUGCAGACUGAGCCUCCAGCGAGCUGCACUAAAAGCUGUGUUUGAUAGCAUCAAAGUGAUUAAAGCAACUUAAUCUGACAAAGUACUACUGAGAAAUUAUUCUAGUUAUGAAUCUUGCAUUAUUUAAUGACCAUUCUUGAAACUUCAGCUCCCGUGAGCAGCUCAUUUAAUGAAAACCUUGGCUUCUAAAAAUUGAGUUGGCUUCCGCUCCUCCCACUCAUGAGAAGUGAGCUGGAAAUUACACCUGAUUGCUCCUGAAAGAUUCAGAACUCAUAAAGCCAUGUAAGAAGAACAGACAUCAGACCUUUAAACCCAUGAUUUUUCAAAACACCCCUCACAACAUUGUUUAAACAAAUUAUCUGUAACUUUUUUUUUUAAACUGCGUUGAUACGAACUUGUGUUUAAAGCACGAAUAUAGAUGUGUAACCUGCAAGUAAUGGAAUCUCUUCUGAGAAGACUCCAGCCCUUUCAAACUUUCAAAUAGGUUCAAAAUACGAACCUAUUCUUACGUUCAUAACAUUGUGGGCAUAAUUCACUGCUGCAUGUGCAUAAUUGACUGUGAAUGCAUACAGAGAUGCAUAUAGGUGUGUUAGGUUUCCCUUCUUCUCUGCCUGAUACACAGAAGAUGUGGCUUUGUUUUAGCCCUUUUUUGACACUUACUUUUCCAUCUGGCUGCAGAGGCCCACAUAUUCAGUACAAGCUGUCCUGGAUUCAGUUAUUGUUCUCAAGAUAGAUGUUGGUUAUCAUUUUUGUGGGAUUUGGUUUAAAGUUCAGUCUGUGCUAGGGCACAUGUGGUCAGGACAUCGUGCCUCCGCAGACAGGAAGCAGAUAACCAGCUGGUCAGUACGGUACACCUCUCUGUAUCUGUUUGAUUAAUGCAGGAUAUGUGUCUGCCACAGCUUUUACCUUCACAUCUCGGCUCUUCAGUUGACUCCUGAUUUCACCCUCAGAGAGUUUAAUUUUCCUCCCAGAUAUGAUUUAUUUCACUGUUGGCUUUUUUUUCCUUAAAAAAACCCAAACAUAACCCAAACAAGCUUAGAAGUAUCCAAUUACUGGCACCAAAUUCAUGAACUUUUGCCCCAUUCAGUGUUUUCCAUUUCCCAUUACAUUCAGUUUGACUGGAGCCACAUGCUGUUCCUAUUCCUAAGCUGACCAUUUCCUGCUGGAAAUGGCAGGGAGAGACUCUGCAUUGACUGGGAGAGGAAUAAUACCUGCAGUUAAUAAUAAUAAUAAUACCUCUCUGCAACCUCUAUGAAUAGUAUACUAAUGUAUAUGUUACCAACAUUUGUAAAAACUCUUCAUUUUCCAAGUAAGACUUGGAAAGACUUGUUUACAUAUGACACUUACUGUACUAUGGAACUAUGGAUUAGUACUAUGGAAUUAUAAGAGCUUUGCUGUACUGUCAGCUGCUAUGAUAAAACCAUAUCAUACAAAGCUUGAAGUUCAGCAAUCGGCUCUUGUUCUGUACUCUACUACAAACUGAUUUCCACAUGUUUUAUUUCAAUUAGGAUAAUCGCAGAUAUGAAUUUAAGUGUCUGCCCUCUUUUAAAGCUGCUGACUUCUUUUUCCCUCCAACAUUUUCAUAGCAGUUAAGCACUGUAGAAAAUAUUUAUUUGACUCAUUUAAGAAUUUUUGUUAUAACUGCAUCGACAGAUAGAGAAGCCUCUAGAAAAAAUGAAACACCUGAUUUUAUUCUAUUUUUCCCUGAGUUGUUCUUUAUGUUAGACACCCCUGUUCUGUCACCUUUGACUUGCUUCCUUCUGAACUGAAGGCUGUUAUGCUGCCUUAAAUCUCUCUGCCUAUGGGGGUCUUUUUAGGCUGCUGAACACUGUAAUUAACCACUUUGGACCUUCCAGGUUUUACUGCCUGUAUGCUGUGCUAAAACUGAAGCCUAGAUAUGGCAAACAGAGUUUCAGAUGAAGGCAUACUGUUAACUAACAUAAUGGCAUUAUUCACCCAACAAUGCUCCGUUUUAAUGACUUUUCAUUUUACUAUUGCUGUGCAGCAGUCAAACACACCUUUUUCCUAUGUAGUCUGGCAAACACUGGCAUUAAAUUUGAAGGUCAAGGCACUUGAGCUUUUAAAUCUGAGCAUCCACAUUUUAUGAAAACCAUUUUAGUUACCUGAUUGUAAGUCUCAUAAAGACUGCAGAACCCUCAAAUUACCUUUUAAAUUCACUAGCUAUGCCUGUUAUUCCCGAGAGGAAAUCUUGGCUAAUGCAACUAGGGCAUCCUUGGUCCUUUUCAUGCUGCAGAUGGAGCCUGGCUUCACCCUGUGCCACUGGCCUGAAUGUGAGUUUUGCACAGUGCUGAGGAGAUCCCAAGCUACAGCGCAAUGAGUCUGAUG
Cuculus canorus (common cuckoo) is the source of this 3222-nucleotide long non-coding RNA. RefSeq lists it as uncharacterized. The transcript has 3 exons. The record is from RefSeq and is a predicted model, not a curated record. Lineage: Eukaryota; Metazoa; Chordata; Aves; Cuculiformes; Cuculidae.